Molecule: unclassified non-coding RNA, 137 nt
Filed under: uncultured fungus
Lineage: Eukaryota; Fungi
Description: sequence contains ITS1, 5.8S rRNA gene
Source: RNAcentral
CCUGAAUAUGGGCUUCGGCCCUCAUUCUACCCUUGUGUAUCUUACCUUUGUUGUUCCCUCGGCGGGUCUCCCGCCGAUGGGUACCCACAAACCCUUUUGCAUUUAGCAUCAAAAUUCUGAUAAAACAUAAAUAAUCA